Molecule: transfer RNA, 85 nt
Filed under: Felis catus (domestic cat)
Lineage: Eukaryota; Metazoa; Chordata; Mammalia; Carnivora; Felidae
Rfam family: tRNA
About the family: Transfer RNA (tRNA) molecules are approximately 80 nucleotides in length. Their secondary structure includes four short double-helical elements and three loops (D, anti-codon, and T loops).
Source: Rfam by way of RNAcentral
GCCUGGGUGGCUCAGUUGGUUAAGCGUCUGACUUCGGCUCGGGUCAUGAUCUCACAGUUUGUGGGUUCGAGCCCCGCAUCGGGCU